AUUGAACGCUGGCGGCAGGCUUAACACAUGCAAGUCGAGCGGGGGAAGGUAGCUUGCUACCGGACCUAGCGGCGGACGGGUGAGUAAUGCUUAGGAAUCUGCCUAUUAGUGGGGGACAACAUCACGAAGGGGAUGCUAAUACCGCAUACGUCCUACGGGAGAAAGCAGGGGAUCUUCGGACCUUGCACUAAUAGAUGAGCCUAAGUCGGAUUGGCUAGUUGGUGGGGUAAAGGCCUACCAAGGCGACGAUCUGUAGCGGGACUGAGAGGAGGAUCCGCCACACGGGGACUGAGACACGGCCCAGACUCCUACGGGAGGCAGCAGUGGGGAAUAUUGGACAAUGGGGGGAACCCUGAUCCAGCCAUGCCGCGUGUGUGAAGGAGGCCUUAUGGUUGUAAAGCACUUUAAGCGAGGAGGAGGCUACUUUAGUUAAUACCUAGAGAUAGUGGACGUUACUCGCAGAAUAAGCACCGGCUAACUCUGUGCCAGCCGCCGCCGUAA
This 501-nucleotide ribosomal RNA is filed under the name uncultured bacterium. Its description in RNAcentral is "partial 16S ribosomal RNA". It matches the Rfam family "Bacterial small subunit ribosomal RNA", at positions 30 to 523 of the family's 1533-position model. The record is from RNAcentral.